UAAUAGUUUUAUUUAUAAUAUAAUUCAAAUUUUGAUUUAAAAUAUUCAGUAUAGCUAUUUAUAUAUGGGUAAAUAAAUGUUUUUUUUUUUGGGUGGGGUGCAGUUGAGGGGGGCUCGUGGCCCAGUAGAGCUUUACCCCUGAGACUAACAAGGGGAACAGUGGAGAUAAACUGGAAGACCUGGAGCUCGGCAAAGAGAUUUGUACGAAGCAUGUGGAAGAACAGGGAAACACACCUCAGUAAUCACAAGUGCAUCAUAAUAAAUUAGAGUGAUAGUCGGGUAUUUUCUUUGGAUGGACGGACGGACGAACGGAUAGAUAGUAUUGAACAAGCAGGUAGAGCUCUGUUGAUGUUUUCUUUGUCUUUUACAGAGUGGAGUAGAGAAUUUAGGGAAUCACAUCUCAGAAAUGAUAAGAAACUGCUGGUCAGGUAUCACCUACAGUAUCACCAAAAGAUGUUUAAGAGGAAGGGGGGCGGUGGUGGGCUUGAGCUGGGCUCAGACUAUAGGAGUUUUAAAAACCUAACCGAUAAUGAAAUCUGGUUGCUGUGAACACAUGAGGAGAAUCUUUGGCAAAUUUAUUAGCCCACCUCAAAUCUUAAAUAUGUGCAAAGUACAAAAUAUGAAAACUGCGCCACAGCACACAAGAUGUUAAGGUUAUCCUGACCGAUGGAGCACAUCACUCUCUUUGUCAAAAAUUACGCUUUUUUUUUUUUUUACUAAUAUUAGAUUAUUAAAUUAUGCGGUGGUUCGGUUCUGGGUUUUUCGGGGUCGACAGCUAUUCUUGACUCUUAAUUUUGGAGUCAGUAGAAUCGACUCAAGAAUCGACACCUUUUACAUUCACUUAAAAUAGCGCAAGGAUUAAACAUGCUGUAUCAUAUCUUUCUUUAUACAAGAAGUUCUCCUGUGGUCAGACAAAAUCAGCAUUUUAAAUCAUCUGCAGUCAAAAUAAAAUA
Danio rerio (zebrafish) is the source of this 953-nucleotide non-coding RNA. The record is from RefSeq and is a predicted model, not a curated record. NCBI's taxonomy places the organism in Eukaryota, Metazoa, Chordata, Actinopteri, Cypriniformes, Danionidae.